Molecule: transfer RNA, 85 nt
Filed under: Halorhodospira halochloris
Lineage: Bacteria; Pseudomonadati; Pseudomonadota; Gammaproteobacteria; Chromatiales; Ectothiorhodospiraceae
Also listed under: 2 other names
Description: tRNA-Tyr
Rfam family: tRNA
About the family: Transfer RNA (tRNA) molecules are approximately 80 nucleotides in length. Their secondary structure includes four short double-helical elements and three loops (D, anti-codon, and T loops). Further hydrogen bonds mediate the characteristic L-shaped molecular structure. tRNAs have two regions of fundamental functional importance: the anti-codon, which is responsible for specific mRNA codon recognition, and the 3' end, to which the tRNAs corresponding amino acid is attached (by aminoacyl-tRNA synthetases). tRNAs cope with the degeneracy of the genetic code in two manners: having more than one tRNA (with a specific anti-codon) for a particular amino acid; and 'wobble' base-pairing, i.e. permitting non-standard base-pairing at the 3rd anti-codon position.
Source: RNAcentral
GGAGGGGUACCCAAGCGGCCAACGGGGGCAGACUGUAAAUCUGCUGGCUUAGCCUUCGUAGGUUCGAAUCCUACCCCCUCCACCA